RNAcentral lists this long non-coding RNA (467 nucleotides) under Ananas comosus (pineapple). RNAcentral describes it as "long non-coding RNA (ACOM_LNC004736)". Lineage: Eukaryota; Viridiplantae; Streptophyta; Magnoliopsida; Poales; Bromeliaceae. The record is from RNAcentral.
UUACUUGAACGGUAUAAAUUUAAAAAAUAUAAUUUAUUAAAUAUUUUUAAAUAUUAAUUUAGUUAUAAAUAUAAAAUAAUUAAAUUUUAAAUUUUGAAUCUCGAAUAUUAAUUACCAAGUUGUUAACUAAUUAUAUUAUAUACGAUAAUUUUUUAAUCACUGCUGAUCUGACAAGCUCUACAGCAAUACUUUAAAUCAAUUUUAUUUAUAGACUAAUUGUAUAAAAAAAAAUUUAUAUCUGUAGACAUAUUUUGUCUUAAUUUUUUGAAAGUUAAAAUUUACGCACUUGUUUAGUUAGUUCUUUAAAAUAAAAAUUACAUAAAAUUUUUUUAAACUUCAAAUUAUAGUGUAAGAUAUAUAUAUAUUCUAUAAUAGUGUGUGUAAUUAUUAUUUUUUUUAGAUUAAUAAGUGCAUGAAUCAAAAUUAAUUUUUUGAAAAAUAUAUUAUGAUAAUUAAAUAAUAUUUGA